Molecule: ribosomal RNA, 465 nt
Filed under: Vreelandella stevensii
Lineage: Bacteria; Pseudomonadati; Pseudomonadota; Gammaproteobacteria; Oceanospirillales; Halomonadaceae
Description: partial 16S ribosomal RNA
Rfam family: Bacterial small subunit ribosomal RNA
Source: RNAcentral
CCUACGGGAGGCUGCAGUGGGGAAUAUUGGACAAUGGGGGGAACCCUGAUCCAGCCAUGCCGCGUGUGUGAAGAAGGCCCUCGGGUUGUAAAGCACUUUCAGUGAGGAAGAACGCCUGGUGGUUAAUACCCAUCAGGAAAGACAUCACUCACAGAAGAAGCACCGGCUAACUCCGUGCCAGCAGCCGCGGUAAUACGGAGGGUGCGAGCGUUAAUCGGAAUUACUGGGCGUAAAGCGCGCGUAGGUGGCUUGAUAAGCCGGUUGUGAAAGCCCCGGGCUCAACCUGGGAACGGCAUCCGGAACUGUCAAGCUAGAGUGCAGGAGAGGAAGGUAGAAUUCCCGGUGUAGCGGUGAAAUGCGUAGAGAUCGGGAGGAAUACCAGUGGCGAAGGCGGCCUUCUGGACUGACACUGACACUGAGGUGCGAAAGCGUAGGUAGCAAACAGGAUUAGAUACCCCGGUAGUC